RNAcentral lists this ribosomal RNA (433 nucleotides) under uncultured bacterium. Its description in RNAcentral is "partial 16S ribosomal RNA". It matches the Rfam family "Bacterial small subunit ribosomal RNA", at positions 29 to 507 of the family's 1533-position model. The record is from RNAcentral.
AACGAACGCUGGCGGCAUGCCUAACACAUGCAAGUCGAACGAGACCUUCGGGUCUAGUGGCGCACGGGUGCGUAACGCGUGGGAACCUGCCUUUAGGUUCGGAAUAACUCAGAGAAAUUUGAGCUAAUACCGGAUGAUGUCUUCGGACCAAAGAUUUAUCGCCUUUAGAUGGGCCCGCGUUGGAUUAGCUAGUUGGUGGGGUAAAGGCCUACCAAGGCGACGAUCCAUAGCUGGUCUGAGAGGAUGAUCAGCCACACUGGGACUGAGACACGGCCCAGACUCCUACGGGAGGCAGCAGUGGGGAAUAUUGGACAAUGGGCGAAAGCCUGAUCCAGCAAUGCCGCGUGAGUGAUGAAGGCCUUAGGGUUGUAAAGCUCUUUUACCCGAGAUGAUAAUGACAGUAUCGGGAGAAUAAGCUCCGGCUAACUCCGUA